GCUUACGAUCAUACCAUGAUGAGAACACCGUAUCCCGUCCGAUCUGCGAAGUUAAGCAUCAUUGGGCUUCUUUAGUACUCAGGUGGGUGACCACUGGGGAACUGGAUAGUGUUGUAAGCA
Molecule: ribosomal RNA, 120 nt
Filed under: Sulfuricurvum sp. MLSB
Lineage: Bacteria; Pseudomonadati; Campylobacterota; Epsilonproteobacteria; Campylobacterales; Sulfurimonadaceae
Source: RNAcentral